CAAAGAAAAAGUGUGAUUUUUCAAGGAAUCAAGUGUUUAAAGGUGGUGAGCUAUCUGAUACGGGUAAAAGACUACACCCGAGGACCGAGAAUAGGAGUAUAUCUACUCCUAGUACAGUUCAGAAUAGGCAGUAGACUGUCAAUUGCAUCGAGAAGU
Molecule: non-coding RNA, 156 nt
Organism: Theobroma cacao (cacao)
Lineage: Eukaryota; Viridiplantae; Streptophyta; Magnoliopsida; Malvales; Malvaceae
Source: RefSeq, a predicted model, not a curated record